Molecule: transfer RNA, 71 nt
Filed under: Shewanella algae
Lineage: Bacteria; Pseudomonadati; Pseudomonadota; Gammaproteobacteria; Alteromonadales; Shewanellaceae
Description: tRNA-Leu
Rfam family: tRNA
About the family: Transfer RNA (tRNA) molecules are approximately 80 nucleotides in length. Their secondary structure includes four short double-helical elements and three loops (D, anti-codon, and T loops).
Source: RNAcentral
AUUUAAGUAGCUCAGAGGAUAGAGCAGCGGCGUAAUGUCGUAGUCGAAGGUUCGAAUCCUUCCUUAAAUAC